CGGGGCGCCAGCAGCAGGCUUAGUCCAAUCAAGGCUCGUUUGUUCCUCCUGGGUUUGCCAGGGAGGCAAUACCUGCCUAACCCACUUUAGGUGUCUGACCUGUCCUUUCCGCAUUCUGGGGUCCAGACCAUGUCCUAGACGUUCCUGGUCCCCGAUUCCCUCCCGUUCAACUCCGUUCAGAUGCUCACCUGGCUGGAACACACCUAGCCCAGGCUGAGCUUGGUGGGUAGAUGGGCUCUCUGGUUUUAGCAGCUGACCUGUCUCAUCCCUCUGUCCCCAGUCUAGAGCCUCUGCACUCCCAUUGUCCUAGGUCUCGUAUUGGGCAGAGGGCUCGGCUUCUGACCCGCCCUGCUCACAGGUUCCUGGGCACCGAUUCCCACGACUCCUACUUCUCCAACGGGCAGAGGCAUCGUGUGGUGGCAGAGAUCCUGGCUCGCACAGUCUAUGGGAAGCAGGAACGAGAAGAGAUGGGCAUUGCCCAUCUGCUGGCCGAGGGAGUCUAUGCUGCAGCCUUCCCACUGCAUGAGGAUCCGAACCAGUGAACCCCGCGCCACCAAAGUGGAAUGUGCAAACUUAACUGCUGCGCCAGCAGGCUGGCCCCUCCUCCAGACUGUAUACGGCCUAUGUCCUGUCAUUCAGAUCCCAACUUAAAUGUCACCUUCUUAGAGAGGCCUUCCUUGACCCCCCCAAUCCAGAGGGGCUCCCUCUCACAGGGAUGUUUUAAUUUCAUCACAGCAUCUAUCACUAUACUUUCUUGUUUGUUUGUUUGUUGUCUGUCCUCUGCCACUAGAAUGUGAGCUCAUGAGAGCAGAAACCUUGUUUGUGAUGUUACUGUAUCCCCAGGCCCUGAGACAGUCCCUACCAUAUAGAGAGUGCUCAAUAAAUGUUUGUUGAAUGAAUC
This 901-nucleotide long non-coding RNA is filed under the name Equus asinus (donkey). RNAcentral's name for it is "lncRNA (ENSEASG00005015870.2)". The record is from RNAcentral. Lineage: Eukaryota; Metazoa; Chordata; Mammalia; Perissodactyla; Equidae.